Molecule: ribosomal RNA, 253 nt
Filed under: uncultured bacterium
Lineage: Bacteria
Description: partial 16S ribosomal RNA
Rfam family: Bacterial small subunit ribosomal RNA
Source: RNAcentral
UACAGAGGGUGCAAGCGUUAAUCGGAUUUACUGGGCGUAAAGCGUGAGUAGGUGGCUCGCCAAGUCGAUUGUGAAAGCCCUGGGCUCAACCUGGGAAUUGCAGUCGAUACUGGUGAACUAGAGUUCGGUAGAGGGUGACGGAAUUCCCGGUGUAGCGGUGAAAUGCGCAGAUAUCAGGAGGAACACCGGUGGCGAAGGCGGAUCUCUGGGCCAUUACUGACGCUGAGGAGCGAAAGCGUGGGGAGCGAACAGG